GAUAACGCUAGCGGCAGGCCUAACACAUGCAAGUCGAACGGUAACAGGGAAAAGCUUGCUUUUCCGCUGACGAGUGGCGCACGGGUGCGUAACGCGUAUACAAUCUACCUCUUACAGGGGGAUAGCCUUUAGAAAUGAAGAUUAAUACCCCAUGGCAUUAUAAACCGGCAUCGGUUUAUAAUUAAAGUUUCGGCGGUAGGAGAUGAGUAUGCGUUCUAUUAGCUAGUAGGUGUGGUAACGGCACACCUAGGCAACGAUAGAUAGGGGCCCUGAGAGGGGGAUCCCCCACACUGGUACUGAGACACGGACCAGACUCCUACGGGAGGCAGCAGUGAGGAAUAUUGGACAAUGGGCGGAAGCCUGAUCCAGCCAUGCCGCGUGCAGGAAGACUGCCCUAUGGGUUGUAAACUGCUUUUGUACAGGAAGAAACCUUUCCACGUGUGGAGAGCUGACGGUACUGUAAGAAUAAGCAUCGGCUAACUCCGUGCCAGCAGCCGCGGUAAUACGGAGGAUGCAAGCGUUAUCCGGAAUCAUUGGGUUUAAAGGGUCC
This 550-nucleotide ribosomal RNA is filed under the name uncultured Flavobacteriia bacterium. RNAcentral describes it as "bacterial SSU rRNA". It matches the Rfam family "Bacterial small subunit ribosomal RNA", at positions 28 to 570 of the family's 1533-position model. The record is from RNAcentral. Lineage: Bacteria; Pseudomonadati; Bacteroidota; Flavobacteriia.